UACGUAGGGUGCGAGCGUUGUCCGGAUUUAUUGGGCGUAAAGAGCUCGUAGGCGGCUUGUCGCGUCGAAUGUGAAAUCUCGGGGCUCAACUCCGAGCUUGCAUUCGAUACGGGCAGGCUAGAGUUCGGUAGGGGAGACUGGAAUUCCUGGUGUAGCGGUGAAAUGCGCAGAUAUCAGGAGGAACACCGGUGGCGAAGGCGGGUCUCUGGGCCGAUACUGACGCUGAGGAGCGAAAGCGUGGGGAGCGAACAGG
Molecule: ribosomal RNA, 253 nt
Filed under: uncultured bacterium
Lineage: Bacteria
Description: partial 16S ribosomal RNA
Rfam family: Bacterial small subunit ribosomal RNA
Source: RNAcentral